Molecule: unclassified non-coding RNA, 412 nt
Filed under: soil metagenome
Description: partial contains 5.8S ribosomal RNA, internal transcribed spacer 2, and large subunit ribosomal RNA
Rfam family: 5.8S ribosomal RNA (bases 1-120)
Source: RNAcentral
GAUGAAGAACGUAGCGAAAUGCGAUACGUAGUGUGAAUUGCAGAAUUCCGUGAACCAUCAAAUCUUUGAACGCAUAUUGCGCUCGAGGCUUCGGCCGAGAGCAUGUCUGCCUCAGCGUCGGUAUUACCCCUCGCUUCUCAACCCCUGGUUGAUGCCUGCCUGCCUUUGCAGUUGGCUAGAAGCGGAUCUGGCUUUCCCAAUUGCCUUUGGUAGUUGGGUCAGCUGAAGCACAGAGGCUUGAGCAAGGACCCUUAUUGGGCUUCAACUGGAUAGGUAGAACUGGUCUUAGGACCAACUACACGAAGUUGUUGCUUGUGGUCUUUGUCUGGAGGCCAGCAGGAAACCUUUAUACCUUCGACCUGAGCUCAGGCAAGAUUACCCGCUGAACUUAAGCAUAUCAAUAAGCGGUGGA